GCAUAUCAAUAAGCGGAGGAAAAGAAACCAACAGGGAUUGCCCCAGUAACGGCGAGUGAAGCGGCAACAGCUCAAAUUUGAAAUCUGGUCCCCAGGGCCCGAGUUGUAAUUUGCAGAGGAUGCUUUUGGUGAGGUGCCUUCCGAGUUCCCUGGAACGGGACGCCAUAGAGGGUGAGAGCCCCGUCUGGUUGGAUACCGAGCCUCUGUAAAGCUCCUUCGACGAGUCGAGUAGUUUGGGAAUGCUGCUCUAAAUGGGAGGUAUAUGUCUUCUAAAGCUAAAUAUUGGCCAGAGACCGAUAGCGCACAAGUAGAGUGAUCGAAAGAUGAAAAGCACUUUGAAAAGAGGGUUAAAUAGUACGUGAAAUUGUUGAAAGGGAAGCACUUAUGACCAGACUUGGCCCCGGUGAAUCAUCCAGCGGUUCCCGCUGGUGCACUUUGCCGGGGUUCAGGCCAGCAUCAGUUCGCUCCGGGGGAUAAAGGCUUUGGGAAUGUGGCUCCCUCGGGAGUGUUAUAGCCCAUUGCGUAAUACCUUGUGGCGGGCUGAGGUUCGCGCUUUAUGCAAGGAUGCUGGCAUAAUGGUCAUCAGUGACCCGUCUUGAAACACGGACCAAGGAGUCGUCUUCGUAUGCGAGUGUUCGGGUGUUAAACCCCUACGCGUAAUGAAAGUGAACGCAGGUGAGAGCCCUCCAGGGCGCAUCAUCGACCGAUCCUGAUGUUCUCGGAUGGAUUUGAGUAAGAGCAUACGGGGCCGGACCCGAAAGAAGGUGAACUAUGCCUGUAUAGGGUGAAGCCAGAGGAAACUCUGGUGGAGGCUCGCAGCGGUUCUGACGUGCAAAUCGAUCGUCAAAUAUGGGCAUGGGGGGCGAAAGACUAAUCGAACCUUUCUAGUAGCUGGUUUCCGCCGAA
RNAcentral lists this ribosomal RNA (906 nucleotides) under Metarhizium majus. Its description in RNAcentral is "LSU rRNA". It matches the Rfam family "Eukaryotic large subunit ribosomal RNA", at positions 38 to 965 of the family's 3401-position model. Lineage: Eukaryota; Fungi; Ascomycota; Sordariomycetes; Hypocreales; Clavicipitaceae. The record is from RNAcentral.